This 484-nucleotide ribosomal RNA is filed under the name uncultured bacterium. RNAcentral describes it as "partial 16S ribosomal RNA". It matches the Rfam family "Bacterial small subunit ribosomal RNA", at positions 29 to 523 of the family's 1533-position model. The record is from RNAcentral.
AGUGAACGCUGGCGGCGUGCUUAACACAUGCAAGUCGAACGAGAACGGGUUGUAGCUUGCUAUAAUUGUCAGCUAAGUGGCGCACGGGUGAGUAAUGUAUAGGUAAUAUGCCUCUUACUAAGGGACAACAAAUGGAAACGUUUGCUAAUACCUUAUACUCCUUAUUAACAUAAGUUAAUAAGGGAAAGAUUUAUUGGUAAGAGAUUAGCCUGUAUUGUAUCAGUUAGUUGGUGGGGUAAUGGCUUACCAAGACUAUGACACAUAACUGGUUUGAGAGGAUGAUCAGUCACACUGGAACUGAGACACGGUCCAGACUCCUACGGGAGGCAGCAGUGGGGAAUAUUGCACAAUGGACGAAAGUCUGAUGCAGCAACGCCGCGUGGAGGAUGACACAUUUCGGUGCGUAAACUCCUUUUAUAUGAGAAGAUAAUGACGGUAUUAUAUGAAUAAGCACCGGCUAACUCCGUGCCAGCCGCCGCAGUAA